GACGAACGCUGGCGGCGUACCUAAUACAUGCAAGUAGAACGCACAGUUUAUACCGUAGCUUGCUACACCAUAGACUGUGAGUUGCGAACGGGUGAGUAACGCGUAGGUAACCUGCCUGGUAGCGGGGGAUAACUAUUGGAAACGAUAGCUAAUACCGCAUAAUAUUGAUUAUUGCAUGAUAAUUGAUUGAAAGAUGCUAUUGCAUCACUACCAGAUGGACCUGCGUUGUAUUAGCUAGUAGGUGAGGUAACGGCUCACCUAGGCGACGAUACAUAGCCGACCUGAGAGGGUGAUCGGCCACACUGGGACUGAGACACGGCCCAGACUCCUACGGGAGGCAGCAGUAGGGAAUCUUCGGCAAUGGACGAAAGUCUGACCGAGCAACGCCGCGUGAGUGAAGAAGGUUUUCGGAUCGUAAAGCUCUGUUGUAAGAGAAGAACGGGUGUGAGAGUGGAAAGUUCACACUGUGACGGUAUCUUACCAGAAAGGGACGGCUAACUACGUG
Molecule: ribosomal RNA, 505 nt
Filed under: uncultured bacterium
Lineage: Bacteria
Description: partial 16S ribosomal RNA
Rfam family: Bacterial small subunit ribosomal RNA
Source: RNAcentral